This 435-nucleotide ribosomal RNA is filed under the name uncultured bacterium. Its description in RNAcentral is "bacterial SSU rRNA". It matches the Rfam family "Bacterial small subunit ribosomal RNA", at positions 29 to 506 of the family's 1533-position model. The record is from RNAcentral.
AUUAACGCUGGCGGCAUGCCUAAUGCAUGCAAGUAGAACGAGGUGUAGCAAUACACCGAGUUGCGAACGGCUGAGUAAUGGAUAGGAAUCUCCCCAAUGGUGUGGAAUACCCCAUCGAAAGAUGGGCUAAUACCGCAUAACCUCGCAAGAGAAAAGCGCUUCACUGCGCGCCGAUGGAUGAGCCUAUCUCCCAUCAGGUAGUUGGUAGGGUAAUGGCCUACCAAGCCUAUGACGGGUACCCGCCCUGAGAGGGGAAACGGGCAGAAAGGGACUGAGACACGGCCCUUACGUCUACGGACGGCAGCAACAGGGAAUCGUACGCAAUGGACGAAAGUCUGACGUCGCAAUGCCGCGUGGAGGAUGAAGGCCUUCGGGUCGUAAACUCCUUUUAUAGUAAUAGAGAUGUUAUUAAGAAUAAGCACCUGCUAACUCUGU